Molecule: ribosomal RNA, 433 nt
Filed under: uncultured bacterium
Lineage: Bacteria
Description: partial 16S ribosomal RNA
Rfam family: Bacterial small subunit ribosomal RNA
Source: RNAcentral
AGCGAACGCUGGCGGCAUGCUUAACACAUGCAAGUCGCACGGGCAGCAAUGUCAGUGGCGGACGGGUGAGUAACGCGUAGGAACGUGUCCUGAGGUGGGGGACAACCCCGGGAAACUGGGGCUAAUACCGCAUAUGGGCUGAGGCCCAAAGCCGAGAGGCGCCUUUGGAGCGGCCUGCGUCCGAUUAGGUAGUUGGUGGGGUAAAGGCCUACCAAGCCUGCGAUCGGUAGCUGGUCUGAGAGGACGACCAGCCACACUGGGACUGAGACACGGCCCAGACUCCGACGGGAGGCAGCAGUGGAGAAUAUUGGACAAUGGGCGAAAGCCUGAUCCAGCAAUGCCGCGUGGGUGAAGAAGGUCUUCGGAUCGUAAAGCCCUUUCGACGGGGACGAUGAUGACGGUACCCGUAGAAGAAGCCCCGGCUAACUUCGUG